Molecule: ribosomal RNA, 435 nt
Filed under: uncultured bacterium
Lineage: Bacteria
Description: partial 16S ribosomal RNA
Rfam family: Bacterial small subunit ribosomal RNA
Source: RNAcentral
AACGAACGCUGGCGGCAUGCCUAACACAUGCAAGUCGAACGAUUGCCUUCGGGUGAUGGUGGCGCACGAGUGCGUAACGCGGGGGAAGUUGCGCGUGGGUUCGGUAUAACAGCUGGAAACGGCUGCUAAUACCGGGAGAGAUCGCGCGGCAUAAGAUUUAUCGCCUGAGGAUGAGCGCGUGUUGGAUUAGGUUGCUGGUGGGGUAAAGGCCCACCAAGCCGAAGAUCCAUAGCUGGUAUGAGAGGAUGAUCAGGCACACUGGGACUGGGACACGGCCCAGAUUUCUACGGGAGGCAGAAGUGGGGAAUAUUGGACACUGGGCGCAAGCCUGAUCCAUCCAUGCCGCGUGAGUGAUGAAGGCCCGAGGGUUGUAAAGCUCUUUUACCCGGGAAGAUAAUGACUGUACCGGGAGAAUAAGCCCCGGCUAACUCCGUG